GACGAACGCUGGCGGCGUGCCUAAUACAUACAAGUUGAGCGCUGAAGGUUGGUACUUGUACCAACUGGAUGAGCAGCGCACGGGUGAGUAACGCGUGGGGAAUCUGCCUUUGAGCGGGGGACAACAUUUGGAAACGAAUGCUAAUACCGCAUAAAAACUUUAAACACAAGUUUUAAGUUUGAAAGAUGCAAUUGCAUCACUCAAAGAUGAUCCCGCGUUGUAUUAGCUAGUUGGUGAGGUAAAGGCUCACCAAGGCGAUGAUACAUAGCCGACCUGAGAGGGUGAUCGGCCACAUUGGGACUGAGACACGGCCCAAACUCCUACGGGAGGCAGCAGUAGGGAAUCUUCGGCAAUGGACGAAAGUCUGACCGAGCAACGCCGCGUGAGUGAAGAAGGUUUUCGGAUCGUAAAACUCUGUUGGUAGAGAAGAACGUUGGUGAGAGUGGAAAGCUCAUCAAGUGACGGUAACUACCCAGAAAGGGACGGCUAACUACGUG
This 497-nucleotide ribosomal RNA is filed under the name uncultured bacterium. RNAcentral describes it as "partial 16S ribosomal RNA". It matches the Rfam family "Bacterial small subunit ribosomal RNA", at positions 28 to 507 of the family's 1533-position model. The record is from RNAcentral.